UUUAUGGCAAUGUAUUAUAUUGAUAAUAUACAUAUUCAAGUAUGUAUAAAAUAUCAUUUUGGCUAUUUGAAAUUAUUUCUUGUGACUUUAAUGAGCCUUUGUCAUCAAGCCACUGUGGUAAAUACUUGGAUCGAAGCCUCAAACCACAUAGCCAUUAAACAUCUGCGGAAAUUUGAAAAUGAUAGUAUAACGUUUAGAACCAUAGGGCUAAAGGUCAUCUAUCGCCUCUAUUUGAAAAGGGAUAUUUAAAACCUCGAGCUGCAGGACACACGUACGCCUGCGACUUCCACUGGUUAAGGGAACUGUUAUUGGACACCUGCAACCGCAUGGAUAAAUGUCACAUAUGAACAUCCAAUGGAAAAGAACAAUCUUACGUCUGCGACCACAGGUACACUGAUUGCCUGCGACUGCAACUGGAAAGACUUCCAUGCUUCAUUUGUAGAAAGUUAUUAAACGGCAGCUAAAAGGGUAAACGAACGCCUGCAUCCACGGAGCUACUGUUCACGUGCGAUCGAACUGAAAAAGAUUGGUUCGACGACUCGGAAACGCUAAUUCUUCAACGUCAGUAAGUGUAAUGAAAUUAUAUUCAGAAAUCACAGGACCAAAGUUCUUGUUUUAGUAUACAAUACGCAUUUUAAUACUUAUGACACUCAUAUUCAACUUCUUAGGCAUUUCAUGGCUUGUAUAUACAGGUUUAAAUAGAUACUUCCCAGUUUGGAUAACUGUGCCAAAGUUCAAAUAGCUAUCGGCUUGAACACUGUUUAUGUUCUUAAUUUCGUAAUAGAUCUAACCUCCGUUGACGAAAUGUUUAUGUAAUGGAUUCGCACAAGAUGCUGUAAAUUUGAGAGAUCAACUGGUGAUUUGACAUCAAAACUGUCUGUUAGCCCAUGUGUGUCAUGAUCUCAUUUACCUCGAUUAACUAAUUUGCAUGAACACCUGUAUUAGUCCAUUACAAACAUCUUGGCACACAGUGUGUUGUGGCCCUUAAGCACGAGCCUGUUCCAGCGGCGUAGCAUGUUGAUUCAUCGGUGGUAAGGGGUUGGACUCCGUCCUGUGUCGCCAGUAAGCGCGGGAACUGGGGUGAAUCUAUGUACACCGAGGUCGUAUCUCAUCGCGCAAUUGUGGUCUUUGUCUGAGGGUUGGAACUGCUUGAAUCCCCAUACUAGGCUAGAUAAAACCACGACCGGUACAACACAAGAAUUCUACAACUUUUCAUAUGGUUUGAAGCCAAGGUCUUUCAGCUCUUUCAGAGCGGCUUCAUAUUCACGGCCUUUGUGGCCGGUGUCAUCUGUGUCGGUCAUCUCGUCUUAAUACGCCGGAAGUACUGCCGAAAUACCACGACGCUGUUCGCAGUGGUGCUCUCUGGAUUUUUGCAUCUGAUCGCGAGCGUGUACAUGUUGACAAUUGCCGAAAAUUACAUGAAAAAACGCGUAAAACAGGGGCCUCCGAGCGUCGGCUCGUGCAUGGAUUACUCGAUGACGGCGGCGUUUGCAAACGGGGUGGUGCUCGUGUUUAUCGUGCAUAAUGUUUACGUUCAGAACUUUAAAUGGUCGAUGUCAUCGUGUCUAGCAUACGCAGGCACACUUGGUUGCAUCAUCACAGGAAGUUUUUCCAUUAUCAAGAUUGUGCCGCAAAAUAGCCCACUUCCAGUUGAACAACAUUCGCUUGUGACGCUUGGGACGUAUGGAAGUCAGCACUUUGACGUAUUCUUGUCCGUGUGUCAGAAAAACGUUUACGAGGAAAGAUGGUCUAUUCUGGUGGAAUAUUUAGUGAUAUACGUACCCGUCAUGUUCACCGUGCUGGCUGCUCUUUACACGAACAGGACAAAACAAACGGAAGUCACCAUCACAGAGCUAAAGAUUCUCUCAAACAAGGAGUGCAACGUUUCAGGGUUUAACUGCAAUUGUGUUAAAUUUAACUCAGUCAUGGUUGCCAUUCUUUUAUACAUUACUUUUGUCUUACUCAUAGUACGACCGGGAUACAUUCUGUAUGCGCACGCAACUUCGGGUUACUUCUGGGACAUAUUGCCUAGUUUGUUACAGACAGUAAUUUUCACUUUUAUUUGCUCAGAAUAUAUUGGAAAAGUCCUUAUUCGAUCACAAUAUUGGAAUAAUGAGGUGAAAUCAAACGGCUAUUGUGACUGUAAACAUAAGAGCAAGUCCCUUAUGCAGGUCUGAUAAGCUGCAAUUUUCUGUAGACAGGUUAUUUAGGGAUGUGUUGUUUAAACGUAAAGACACAUUUCCUUGGAAUGGGAAAUCCAUCGUUAUAUUUCCACAAAACUGCGAAACUAUGCUCAAAUAUGUUUGAAGCGCUAAUUAGCACAAAAGGGUAUCAUAUUGACGGAGUUAAAGUCGAAAUAUUGCCAUAUAUUUACACUUGGUGUCAUCUUCGUUCAUUUAAUCAAAAUGAUACUUAUGACCAGAAACAACAUGUUAAGAUGGAACUUGGGACAUAAUGAUGCUAAGUAUGUCGGGAAGCUUAUGCGUAGCUUUAAAUACAUAAACUUGAGCUCUUUGAUGCGGACAUAGAAACAUGCUGUGACAAGCAAACGAGUUUUAAUGUUUGAACAUGAUAUUUGCAUGCAAAAGAAGUUGUUUAUAUAUAUUUUAAUUGAUAAAAUGAUAUAUACGUCUCGUGAUUAGUAAGUAAAGAAGGCUGUGAUAAUUAAAUAAUAUCCAAUUGAAAUAAAGUUUAAUUGUCGAUGUAUUUUUUAUGUGUACAUUUGAGUUUGUAGUAAAGCAUAAUGUCACUGUAUUUAGAUAAACUAUUAUUACAACGAUCGUGCAUGCAUAUUUCAAUCAUGUUUAUGCAUUACUCAUAUUAUGUAUAUGUGUUGAGUCAUUUCUAUUUUUUAAUAUGUAUGGUUUUAGAAAAAUGUUUGAGGUAAAUCGCAUUAAGAUUCUAUGUUCAUAGUUUGCAGGCUAUUGUCCACUACAUAAUUUUACAAUAGAAAAGUGUUUUAUAGUUAAUUGACCGAUUUGCACGCGAAAUAACACUGAUUUCUAAUGUUACUAGACCGUCAACUCCUUAUAGGGGAUGAUAGUCUAACAAGUGUACCAAACAUUAAACGGCAUUAAAAAUCCUUAGAAUUGGCUAAACGCAGCCCCUAUGUACUGAAUAUAGUGAAAUCAUGAAUUUACAAGACAACUACUGGCACGGUAGGUAUUGAAGACACGACAUUGUACUAUCAGACGAUUUGAAAACGCCCCAGAUCUUGAGAACAUUUUCGGUUUGCAUUUCAAAGGGACUCUAAACUACCGCACGUAUUCAAUGUGAAUAUUUCAAAGACAAGAAUAUUUAAUUGCAAUGCAUGGUCCUUUUCCUUUUAAGAUUGAGCGUGCUUUAAUCGUUCGUAAAAUUGAAAUAAAUCCGUACGUUAAAUAUAUUUUUCUUUGGUAAUGUUUGCACACAUCGUGUGUAAAAUCUCAUUUACACAAGUAUUAAUUUCUGACGCUAAAUAGUCUACUUUUCAACUGGCAAAUGCUAAUAAUAUAUGUAUACCCGUAAAGGUUGUCACUUUUCGCAAUCAGCACAACCAAAGGGUUUAAUAAAGACAUUGCAAUUUACCCGGUGAAAUAUUAAAAACAAACAUAAAAGCAAAGCUCAUGCGUUAUGUCCACAACUGGCAAAAUACGCAACAAAAUCAACCAUUUCGUUAGAAAUUCACAGAGACGCAUAUCAAAACCAUGCUUUGAAAACUUAUGAAAUGCCUUUAUUAAAUAUUCUUUGGAAAACAAUACAGAUGUUUGCUUUAUUAGUGCUAUUAUUAUAUGUUUUAUAUUAUGAAACGAAUUCGUAGUAAUGUCGCAGGUCUGUUGAUAUGAAUGAGUUACUCAUAAAUAACGCAGGAGUAACGAAAGAGUAACUUGAAACAUUCGCCCAAAUUAGUUUCAUUCUUACCAUACUAUAAUUCCUAUUUCACUUGUGAUAACCUUGGUAUUGACCUAGAUACGUUAAAUGUUCAAUUUUAGACAUUGGUUUGCAUUUUCUGUAUUUUUCUAUAUAUUUCGUUCUAGAAUUUUGUUUUUUCCACCCAUUUACUUAUUACACAAAUGUGUAGUGUGUUAAUAUUUCGACUACAGUUGUUAACAAGAAACUAUUUAAGGU
RNA transcript from Mya arenaria, 4107 nucleotides. RefSeq lists it as uncharacterized. The record is from RefSeq and is a predicted model, not a curated record. The transcript is spliced from 3 exons. Lineage: Eukaryota; Metazoa; Mollusca; Bivalvia; Myida; Myidae.